RNAcentral lists this non-coding RNA (157 nucleotides) under Rubellimicrobium thermophilum DSM 16684. Its description in RNAcentral is "6S / SsrS RNA". It matches the Rfam family "6S / SsrS RNA". From Rfam's summary of the family: E. coli 6S RNA was the first non coding RNA to be sequenced, but its function was unknown until recently. It consists of 184 nucleotides that fold into an extended hairpin structure with a large single-stranded internal bulge. Lineage: Bacteria; Pseudomonadati; Pseudomonadota; Alphaproteobacteria; Rhodobacterales; Roseobacteraceae. RNAcentral also lists the same sequence under 1 other name. The record is from Rfam by way of RNAcentral.
CGGGUUCUGCGCCUCUCGUGAUCGGGUUCGCUUCCAGUGGCCUAUACCGACUCCGAGGGAGCUGGCUCUGGCCGGGUCGUGGCCCGGUUACCUGGUGCCCACCUGUACACACAGGUCCUCGGGAAACGAUCACCCACACGGUUGCCGUGGUUCCCGC